Long non-coding RNA from Tyto alba (common barn owl), 1571 nucleotides. RefSeq lists it as uncharacterized. The record is from RefSeq and is a predicted model, not a curated record. Lineage: Eukaryota; Metazoa; Chordata; Aves; Strigiformes; Tytonidae. The transcript has 7 exons.
GUUCAUAGCUCUUUGUCAGUCUUUGUUUUUACCUGCUGUUUGCAUACCGUGUGGCCUAGAUGGUUUUUCUGCCUUAGAGGCACAUCUGUCUUCAGUACUUUUACUUCUGUUACCUUCUGGUUUUGGAGAUGUGUAGCACAGACCAUUUCAGUGACCUGUAGCAGUGUCAGGUGCAGAGGAACAGGCCAGCAAGUUUCUUAUUCUCAGUGAAGGACAGUUUGCAAGCUUGCAAGCCGGCCUUUAUGGUGUCAAAAUCGCAGUUUUCUUUCUUGCCCUCUUGAAGGCUAAGUUGAGUCAUCCAGGAACUUGGGAUUUGAAUGUUUAAGGACAUGUUCCAGUCAAAGAAUCGGGUUUACAUAACUCUGCUUUCCAGUCAGAUGUUACGAGAUGGAGAAAUGAAAGCUCCAGUUUAGUUUAAUUAGGGUGGAAAAACAGAACUUAAGUGAAAAAUACAGAACCUUAGAAUUACUUGGUUUUGUCCCUGCCAACACUGAGGAAAGGCUAUCUUACUGUAGGAAGUGCAGUCAGUUAGUAAAGACCUGAAAGAGAAGUGGGGCAUUAGUCAUGCUCCUGUCUUUCUGGUAAAUGUCCUUGUAUUAGCCAGACCCGAGGGCAGGACACUGCCGUGUGCGUGAGCACAUGCGUGUGCUGGUUCAGCUGGAGCCUUGGCAAGCGCUGCUGCGGCCACAGGUUAAGUGAUGGUGAGUCAGUCACAAGUGUUUGCCCUCGCAGGAUGUAAUGAAGUCCACUGAUCUGCUGGUGCUCUUCUGCAUCGUGAAGAUGGCAAGGGUAAAGGGAUGGUUGAAGAAUUUCUAUAGCAGUUGCUUUUAAAUGAGUUCAUGGGGAAACCUCUGCAAGCUUUCAAUAACCUGUAGGAAUCUUCUGAAGCCAGCGAAAGUUCAGACCAUGCCUUUGGCAGUUACUCCAGAACUGCUCUACUGUAAGAGAAGAUUGCGUCCUCCAGAAGAGCCAAAAGCUGCGGCUGAUGGGAGUGACACCCAGGUUACGGAAGACUGAACUGAGCCAAGAACACCGCUGUCAAUCUCCACCUUUGUGCCAAGAAAACUGGCUACAAAUUUGAGACAAAUACUUGAACAAUUUUUGUCUAGUAAGUAAGCCUGAAACACGAAGAAGUCAGCAGCAGCUGUUAUCUGUGCAAGAUCCGCAAGAGGAGCACCUGACUGCAAGAGAACAGCACCUGAGUUGAAGAGUCCCCUGCCCAAAAAAAACAAGGACCUCCAUCGCUGAAGUUGCUCAAAACUCAACUGGACAGGACAGAGGCAACCUCAGGUGGGUGGUGAUGACAAUGGAAGAGCUUCUGCUAUAUUGUCCUCCAGUUGAGACAGGCUUUGUGAGGUGGAUAGUGCUUUCUGGAUGGUUUCAAUGGCUUCUGUGUGAUCCAUCUGUCUCAAAGCAGUGAUCAACUCUUGAACUGUACCACCAGAAACCUAAGAGAGAAGACACCAGAUGCUCACCCAUCAUCCAGCCUUCUAACCUGAAUUGUCACUGCGAAAGAAAGUUCGCCAGCAAAUACCCAUGCUCAUACCUGCUGCUUUGAGAACUGCUGCCAG